This 70-nucleotide transfer RNA is filed under the name Loxodonta africana (African savanna elephant). It matches the Rfam family "tRNA". Rfam says of the family: Transfer RNA (tRNA) molecules are approximately 80 nucleotides in length. Their secondary structure includes four short double-helical elements and three loops (D, anti-codon, and T loops). Further hydrogen bonds mediate the characteristic L-shaped molecular structure. tRNAs have two regions of fundamental functional importance: the anti-codon, which is responsible for specific mRNA codon recognition, and the 3' end, to which the tRNAs corresponding amino acid is attached (by aminoacyl-tRNA synthetases). tRNAs cope with the degeneracy of the genetic code in two manners: having more than one tRNA (with a specific anti-codon) for a particular amino acid; and 'wobble' base-pairing, i.e. permitting non-standard base-pairing at the 3rd anti-codon position. The record is from Rfam by way of RNAcentral. Lineage: Eukaryota; Metazoa; Chordata; Mammalia; Proboscidea; Elephantidae.
GCAGUGUGGCUCAGUGGUAGAGUUCUCAGCUUCCAAGUGGGAGACCCUGGUUCAAUUCCCAGCCAGUGCA